RNAcentral lists this long non-coding RNA (642 nucleotides) under Homo sapiens (human). Its description in RNAcentral is "HSALNT0402477". The record is from RNAcentral. Lineage: Eukaryota; Metazoa; Chordata; Mammalia; Primates; Hominidae.
GUCAGCUCCUAACGCCGCAGGUUCCUCCUGGUCCCCGAGGCCCCCGGUCGGGCGUUGCCUGCCCCGCGCGGGCGGCCGGGCCGAGGGACGAUGGUCAGUGGACGGACGGCGCCAGGGAGCAGUGCCCACGCGCGGCAGGGCGGUACCUUCAGGCCUCCAGGUGUCAUCGAACACCCUUGUGCUUGCUGUCACCCGCUGCCUGUCUGCAGGAUCCCGGAUUCCGUAUCAGGGGACCGAAAUUAGUCGGAAAAUAGGAAGCAGGUGCUCGCUUGGAUGGAACCCUGACCCUGUGCUCACACUUGUAGGAGGAGGGCUCUGCAGGCCGCCUCCCGGAACGGGAGGUUCCCAAGCCACUGCACUUCGGAGGGGCUGUAAUUAGAGUUGCACAUUCAUUCAGUUCCCAGUAAAGUAGAACGUGCUCCAGCCAGUGAGGAAAAGGUGUUUUUAAAAAUUAGAUUGGCCGAGUGCGGUGGCUCAUGCCUUUUACCUCAACACUUUGGGAGACAAAGGUGGGAGGAUCACCUGUGGCCAGGAGUUCAAGACCAGCCUGGGCAACAGAGCCUGUCUCUGGGGAAGAAUAAAAAAAAAAAUUGAGCCUUUGUCAGUGCUACUAUUUUAUUAUCUGGUAAAUAUGAGAGGGUU